AUUGAACGCUGGCGGCAUGCCUUACACAUGCAAGUCGAACGGUAACAGGUCUUCGGAUGCUGACGAGUGGCGAACGGGUGAGUAAUACAUCGGAACGUGCCCGAUCGUGGGGGAUAACGAAGCGAAAGCUUUGCUAAUACCGCAUACGAUCCACGGAUGAAAGCAGGGGACCGCAAGGCCUUGCGCGAACGGAGCGGCCGAUGGCAGAUUAGGUAGUUGGUGGGAUAAAAGCUUACCAAGCCGACGAUCUGUAGCUGGUCUGAGAGGACGACCAGCCACACUGGGACGGAGACACGGCCCAGACUCCUACGGGAGGCAGCAGUGGGGAAUUUUGGACAAUGGGCGAAAGCCUGAUCCAGCCAUGCCGCGUGCAGGAUGAAGGCCUUCGGGUUGUAAACUGCUUUUGUACGGAACGAAAAGCCCCGGGUUAAUACCCUGGGGUCAUGACGGUACCGUAAGAAUAAGCACCGGCUAACUACGUGCCAGCCGCCGCCGUAA
Molecule: ribosomal RNA, 498 nt
Filed under: uncultured bacterium
Lineage: Bacteria
Description: partial 16S ribosomal RNA
Rfam family: Bacterial small subunit ribosomal RNA
Source: RNAcentral